UCUGUGUAAAGUGAAGGAUAGUGAAAAUUUGGCUUAAACUCAGUGUAAAUUAAUAAAAAAACGCAAUUUCUCAAGUAAAGCCAAACAGGAUAUUUGUAAGGAAGUGGGAGCUCCUGCCACAAUCUCCUGCAGCUGCACUUAAAUAAUCAAACUAUCUGGACCAGUUUCGUGCUACAAGAUUUUCUGGAAAAUCGGGGAAUCUCAGUGCAAGUAGUGCAAGUCUCAUUUGAGCUCCGGAGAGACAGCCCGUGAAGCGAGGUGAUCUCUAAAAUCUGGAAAUCCUCAUCUUGGACUCAUUGAAGAUAUUCAAAUCGAAAAGACUUGAAGCUAGGACUAAAGACUAGUGUUGUCAUCAAAAUGUUUAGAAACCAAGGAGAAUUCGCCAGAGGUAUG
Molecule: long non-coding RNA, 393 nt
Organism: Phlebotomus papatasi
Lineage: Eukaryota; Metazoa; Arthropoda; Insecta; Diptera; Psychodidae
Exons: 3
Source: RefSeq, a predicted model, not a curated record